UUGUAGUCUGCAACUCGACUACAUGAAGCUGGAAUCGCUAGUAAUCGCGAAUCAGAAUGUCGCGGUGAAUACGUUCCCGGGUCUUGUACACACCGCCCGUCACACCAUGGGAGUCGGAUAUGCCCGAAGUCAGUGACCCAACCAUAUGGAGGGAGCUGCCGAAGGUGGAGCCGAUAACUGGGGUGAAGUCGUAACAAGGUAGC
This 203-nucleotide ribosomal RNA is filed under the name uncultured bacterium. Its description in RNAcentral is "partial 16S ribosomal RNA". It matches the Rfam family "Bacterial small subunit ribosomal RNA", at positions 1298 to 1500 of the family's 1533-position model. The record is from RNAcentral.